CAAUAAAUCACAAUGCGGGACUAUACGUCUUGCAAUUGGAUUGAGAACAAUGUACAACUCUUAUCGAUAAGCCAUUGGAGGGCAAGUCUGGUGCCAGCAGCCGCGGUAAUUCCAGCUCCAAUAGCGUAUAUUAACGUUGUUGCAGUUAAAAAGCUCGUAGUUGAAGUGUGGGUGAUCGCUGUUGUGAGACUUCGGUCUCUCGACAGUAAGUCACCCCCUUCCAGUAUCCAGUAGUGGGUAUUCAGUUACUUACUAUUGUGUGUUGGUCCUUUACUGUGAGAAAAUUAGAGUGUUCAAAGCAGGCGUUUGCUUGAAUAGAUUAGCAUGGAAUAAUAAUUGAAGGCUUUCGUGUUCGAUUUGAUUGGUUUGUUCAUGGAAGCAAGGUUAAAAGGAACAGUUGGGGGUAUUCAUAUUCACUAGUUAGAGGUGAAAUUCUCGGAUUUAUGGAAGAUGAACA
Molecule: ribosomal RNA, 457 nt
Filed under: Blastocystis sp.
Lineage: Eukaryota; Bigyra; Opalinata; Blastocystidae
Description: SSU rRNA
Rfam family: Eukaryotic small subunit ribosomal RNA
Source: RNAcentral